GUUGUCGUUGUUAUUCUUGUUGUUGUUAUUGUCGUUGUUGUCCUUGUCCUCGUUAUUAUCGUUGUUGUCAUCGUUAUCUUUGUUCUUGUCAUUGUCGUUGUUGUCAUUGUUGUCUUUGUCAUCAUCGUUGUUGUUGUCGUUUUUGUUGUUGUCGUCGUCAUCGUCAUCGCCGUCAUCGUUGUCUUCGAUGUUGUUGUUGUCGUUGCUGUUAUUGUUGUUGUUUUUUCGUUGUUG
RNAcentral lists this long non-coding RNA (234 nucleotides) under Hordeum vulgare. RNAcentral's name for it is "long non-coding RNA (HVUL_LNC019134)". Lineage: Eukaryota; Viridiplantae; Streptophyta; Magnoliopsida; Poales; Poaceae. The record is from RNAcentral.